RNAcentral lists this ribosomal RNA (427 nucleotides) under uncultured bacterium. RNAcentral's name for it is "partial 16S ribosomal RNA". It matches the Rfam family "Bacterial small subunit ribosomal RNA", at positions 355 to 774 of the family's 1533-position model. The record is from RNAcentral.
UAGGGAAUCUUCGGCAAUGGACGAAAGUCUGACCGAGCAACGCCGCGUGAGUGAAGAAGGUUUUCGGAUCGUAAAACUCUGUUGGUAGAGAAGAACGUUGGUGAGAGUGGAAAGCUCAUCAAGUGACGGUAACUACCCAGAAAGGGACGGCUAACUACGUGCCAGCAGCCGCGGUAAUACGUAGGUCCCGAGCGUUGUCCGGAUUUAUUGGGCGUAAAGCGAGCGCAGGUGGUUUAUUAAGUCUGGUGUAAAAGGCAGUGGCUCAACCAUUGUAUGCAUUGGAAACUUGUAGACUUGAGUGCAGGAGAGGAGAGUGGAAUUCCAUGUGUAGCGGUGAAAUGCGUAGAUAUAUGGAGGAACACCGGUGGCGAAAGCGGGUCUCUGGCCUGUAACUGACACUGAGGCUCGAAAGCGUGGGGAGCAAACA